CACGUAGGGGGCAAGCGUUGUCCGGAUUCAUUGGGCGUAAAGAGCUCGUAGGCGGUUCGAUAAGUCGGGUGUGAAACCUCCAGGCUCAACCUGGAGACGCCACCCGAUACUGUCGUGACUAGAGUCCAGUAGGGGAGCGUGGAAUUCCUGGUGUAGAGGUGAAAUUCGUAGAUAUCAGGAGGAACAUCAGUGGCGAAAGCGGCUUCCUGGCUCGAUACUGACGCUCAUGUACGAAAGCGUGGGGAGCAAACAGG
Molecule: ribosomal RNA, 254 nt
Filed under: uncultured bacterium
Lineage: Bacteria
Description: partial 16S ribosomal RNA
Rfam family: Bacterial small subunit ribosomal RNA
Source: RNAcentral